AGAAACUUAUGUUAAAUACUAACCCAGGGCCUUCAAAGCCCUAAACAGAGGACAACUCCCCUA
This 63-nucleotide transfer RNA is filed under the name Bavayia septuiclavis. Its description in RNAcentral is "partial tRNA-Trp". Lineage: Eukaryota; Metazoa; Chordata; Lepidosauria; Squamata; Diplodactylidae. The record is from RNAcentral.